This is an unclassified non-coding RNA of Cercocebus atys (sooty mangabey), 300 nucleotides long. Its record names the gene 7SK. It matches the Rfam family "7SK RNA". From Rfam's summary of the family: 7SK was discovered as an abundant small nuclear RNA in the mid-70s but a possible function has only recently been suggested. Two independent studies have found that 7SK RNA binds the CDK9/cyclin T complex (known as elongation factor P-TEFb). The record is from Ensembl. Lineage: Eukaryota; Metazoa; Chordata; Mammalia; Primates; Cercopithecidae.
UGCCAUGUGGGCGAUCUGGCUGCGACAUCUGUCACCCCAUUGAUCGCCAGAGUUGAUUCGGCUGAUCUGGCUGGCUAGGUGGGUGUCCCCUUCCUCCCUCACCGCUCCAUGUAUGUCCCUCCUGAAGCUGCGCGCUCGCUCGAAGAGGACCACCAUCUCUGCUAGAGGAGGGCCAGUCUUCGGUCAAGGGUAUACGAGUAGCUGCGCUCCCCUGCUAGAACCUCCAAACAAGCUCUCAAGGAAGUCUUGUAUUCUAUAAUGAGGAAUGUGGAUUUAAGUAUAAGGAUAAUGGGAAGCCUU